GAUGAAGAACGUAGCGAAAUGCGAUACUUGGUGUGAAUUGCAGAAUCCCGUGAACCAUCGAGUCUUUGAACGCAAGUUGCGCCCGAAGCCAUUAGGCCGAGGGCACGCCUGCCUGGGUGUCACACACCGUUACCCUCGCGCCAACGUCCAUCGUUGGCCGCGGCGCGGGGCGUGCGCUGACCUCCCGCGAGCGGGUCUCGUGGUUGGUUGAAAAUCGAGUUCGCGGUCGAGGGUGCCGUGAUGAAAUGGUGGAUGAUGAUGCCCGAGGCCAAUCACGCGCGACUCUGUCCGGCUCGGACUCCUGGACCCCUUCGGCGUCUCCGGACGCUCUUUGGCGAGACCUCAGGUCAGGCGGGGCUACCCGCUGAGUUUAAGCAUAUCAAUAAGCGGAGGA
This 394-nucleotide unclassified non-coding RNA is filed under the name soil metagenome. Its description in RNAcentral is "partial contains 5.8S ribosomal RNA, internal transcribed spacer 2, and large subunit ribosomal RNA". The stretch from base 1 to 122 matches the Rfam family "5.8S ribosomal RNA", at positions 35 to 154 of the family's 154-position model. The record is from RNAcentral.